Molecule: long non-coding RNA, 249 nt
Organism: Hyalella azteca
Lineage: Eukaryota; Metazoa; Arthropoda; Malacostraca; Amphipoda; Hyalellidae
Exons: 2
Source: RefSeq, a predicted model, not a curated record
UUGCUACCUUCGGCGCUACCGUCUUUGACGUCUACCGUUCGGACUAACGGCGAUGGAAGUUUGACGCGGCGACGUUCAACACACGGGAAAGAUCCUAUGGACGUCUGAGUUGCCCUUCAUCCUCCUUUUCGGAACCGCGGGUGGCGGAUGGUCGGGGUGAGCGCCACCGACGGGCUUAACCCGUUGUCUUCUCCGACCGCCAGUUUCGCAACAGUUUCAUUCAUCCGUAUAAAUAAAAUAUUCUUUGAA